RNAcentral lists this ribosomal RNA (463 nucleotides) under uncultured bacterium. RNAcentral's name for it is "partial 16S ribosomal RNA". It matches the Rfam family "Bacterial small subunit ribosomal RNA", at positions 28 to 507 of the family's 1533-position model. The record is from RNAcentral.
GAUGAACGCUGACAGAAUGCUUAACACAUGCAAGUCGAUGGGGAAGUGGUGCUUGCACCAUGGUAACCAUGGCGGACGGGUGAGUAACGCGUAAGGAACUUACCUGCGGGACCGGGAUAACAGCAGGAAACUGCUGACAAGACCGGAUAAGGUCAUUAAGCUGCAUAGCUUAGUGAUGAAAGGAGACGCCUGCGGAGAGCCUUGCGUCCUAUUAGCUAGUUGGAGGGGUAACGGCCCACCAAGGCGAAGAUAGGUAGCCGGCCUGAGAGGGUGGACGGCCACAAGGGGACUGAGAUACGGCCCUUACUCCUACGGGAGGCAGCAGUGGGGAAUAGUGGACAAUGGGGGCAACCCUGAUCCAGCAAUUCUGUGUGCACGAAGACGGUUUUCGGAUUGUAAAGUGCUUUCAGCAGGGAAGAAGGAAGUGACGGUACCUGCAGAAGAAGCGACGGCUAAAUACGUG